AACCUUACCUGGUCUUGACAUCCACAGAACUUUCCAGAGAUGGAUUGGUGCCUUCGGGAACUGUGAGACAGGUGCUGCAUGGCUGUCGUCAGCUCGUGUUGUGAAAUGUUGGGUUAAGUCCCGCAACGAGCGCAACCCUUAUCCUUUGUUGCCAGCGGUUCGGCCGGGAACUCAAAGGAGACUGCCAGUGAUAAACUGGAGGAAGGUGGGGAUGACGUCAAGUCAUCAUGGCCCUUACGACCAGGGCUACACACGUGCUACAAUGGCAUAUACAAAGAGAAGCGACCUCGCGAGAGCAAGCGGACCUCAUAAAGUAUGUCGU
RNAcentral lists this ribosomal RNA (322 nucleotides) under Klebsiella pneumoniae. RNAcentral describes it as "bacterial SSU rRNA". It matches the Rfam family "Bacterial small subunit ribosomal RNA", at positions 967 to 1289 of the family's 1533-position model. Lineage: Bacteria; Pseudomonadati; Pseudomonadota; Gammaproteobacteria; Enterobacterales; Enterobacteriaceae. The record is from RNAcentral.